This is a non-coding RNA of Paramuricea clavata, 740 nucleotides long. The record is from the annotation of a GenBank genome assembly. Lineage: Eukaryota; Metazoa; Cnidaria; Anthozoa; Malacalcyonacea; Plexauridae.
AUCCUUAGUCUGCUCUUCUAAAUGGAUACAUGAAAUCACCUAUAGCUUAUUUUAAAUUUUUUUGCGCCAGGUUUGUGAAGUAAUUUACGCAGUAAAAAGCAUAUACAAUUUGCAAGAAUGAUAUGUUCUAUGUUUACGGGAUAUUUCGUACAAACGGGAUGGAAAUUAAAGAAAUUGAAGCAUACUGGCACUUUUGCAUGCAUUUUUGACAGGCAUGCAAAGACAUUUGCAACAGAUGCCGGGAGAUACGUUGGGUGGGGGCAACAUACUGUAAGGUUCCAGCACAUUACCCUGAUCCAGGAAAUCCUGUCCACUACAUGAACGUGUUCAAGACUCAGAAUAUGCUAAAUGAUGGACAACAACAACCUGUUGAUAAUUCCACCCCUAGAGCCAAUUUAAAAUGUUUUAAAGACGGUGCCAUUUCAUCUGGCGCUAGUGAGAUGAAAGAAGCAUCAGAUCGGUAGAGGAGAAGCACUUGAGUAUAUCAGACAUCUUGAGGAACUGCAAAUUGUAUCUAUGAUAAGAGAGAAUUCCGGAUUGUACUCCUUCGUUUCCGAAUUCUAGAGGGGGGGGGCAUUGAAAAUUUUAAAAACUUGGGGGGGGGGCAUCGAAACUUACCGAUAACCUUAACAGGGACCCUGUAAAAAUAUGAGCUUUUUUCAAGACAUCUUCAUCCCCCUCCCUCGGUGUAAUAAAUGUACUUUCCCUUAAGUCAAUUGUCAGUAUCAGCUCACUUCAAC